UUCGCAAUGCCCGAAAGGGUGACGAAGCGACGCCGCGUGGGUGAGGAAGGCCCUCGGGUUGUAAAGCCCUGUCAGGAGUUAAGAAAUGCAGGUGUGCUAAUAUCACACCUGCUUGACGAAGGCUCCAAAGGAAGUCACGGCUAACUCUGUGCCAGCAGCCGCGGUAAUACAGAGGUGGCAAGCGUUGUUCGGAAUUAUUGGGCGUAAAGAGCACGUAGGUGGGUUUGUAAGUCAGAUGUGAAAGCCUCCUGUUCAACGGGAGAAUUGCAUCUGAAACUACUGAUCUUGAGUGUAGGAGGGGAGAAUGGAACUUCUGGUGGAGCGGUGAAGUGCGUAGAUAUCAGAAGGAACGCCGGCGGCGAAAGCGAUUCUCUGGCCUAUUACUGACACUCAGUGUGCGAAAGCUAGGGGAGCAAACGGGAUUAGAUACCCCGGUAGUCCUAGCUGUAAACGAUGGGCACUAAGUAGAGGGGUUUU
This 477-nucleotide ribosomal RNA is filed under the name Candidatus Scalindua marina (nom. nud.). RNAcentral describes it as "bacterial SSU rRNA". It matches the Rfam family "Bacterial small subunit ribosomal RNA", at positions 365 to 832 of the family's 1533-position model. The record is from RNAcentral. Lineage: Bacteria; Pseudomonadati; Planctomycetota; Candidatus Brocadiia; Candidatus Brocadiales; Candidatus Scalinduaceae.